UCUCAUGUCUGAUGAUCCUGUUUCCAAGA
Molecule: non-coding RNA, 29 nt
Filed under: Rattus norvegicus (Norway rat)
Lineage: Eukaryota; Metazoa; Chordata; Mammalia; Rodentia; Muridae
Source: RNAcentral